UACGUAGGUGGCAAGCGUUGUCCGGAUUUACUGGGCGUAAAGAGCGCGCAGGCGGUUGGAUAAGUCGAAUGUGAAAGCCCCCGGCUCAACUGGGGAGGGUCAUUCGAUACUGUCUAACUUGAAGGCAGGAGAGGGCAGCAGAAUUCCCGGUGUAGUGGUGAAAUGCGUAGAUAUCGGGAGGAAUACCAGUGGCGAAGGCGGCUGCCUGGCCUGUUCUUGACGCUGAGGCGCGAAAGCUAGGGGAGCAAACGGG
Molecule: ribosomal RNA, 253 nt
Filed under: uncultured bacterium
Lineage: Bacteria
Description: partial 16S ribosomal RNA
Rfam family: Bacterial small subunit ribosomal RNA
Source: RNAcentral